GGAGAGGUGUAGUGGUUUGAGUACUGGACUAUGACUCUGGAAACCAGGGUUCAAAUCUCUGCUUGGCCA
This is a non-coding RNA of Phrynosoma platyrhinos (Desert horned lizard), 69 nucleotides long. Lineage: Eukaryota; Metazoa; Chordata; Lepidosauria; Squamata; Phrynosomatidae. The record is from the annotation of a GenBank genome assembly.